AUUUCCGUAGUGUAGUGGUUGUCACAUCUGCCCAACACGCAGAAGUUUCUGAGUUCGAAACCCAGUUGAAUUU
Non-coding RNA from Biomphalaria pfeifferi, 73 nucleotides. The record is from the annotation of a GenBank genome assembly. NCBI's taxonomy places the organism in Eukaryota, Metazoa, Mollusca, Gastropoda, Planorbidae.